AGAGAUUUGGAUGUCUUUCGGACAAAUGAAAGCAUAUAAUUAAUGAGGGUUUACAGAUUUAAGGGAUCACAUGGAAGCCUUUUGGCAUGUGACAGCUCCUUUUGGGUUUUUGGUUCCACCCUUUAUCUCUUUUCCAUGAAGCCCAACUGAGUGCCUCUCACUUCCUUCUUCCUACCACCUAGAAUAUCUCAGUUUUAUUCCACCAUUUUCUUCCAGGGUUCUCUUCAUUCAUUUGCAUGGUCUCUUAUUCUCUCUCUUCUCCCUGUUCAUCCUCAUCUAUUUGUUGCUAGUCCUGCUGUCUUUCCUGGUCACAAAGAAGCAAUCCAUGGUUUGAAGCACCAAGUUCUAUUUUUCUCGUGAAGGAACAAAAAAUCAUAUAGAUCUAACUGAUUCUUUUUCUCUACUGU
Molecule: long non-coding RNA, 407 nt
Filed under: Phoenix dactylifera (date palm)
Lineage: Eukaryota; Viridiplantae; Streptophyta; Magnoliopsida; Arecales; Arecaceae
Description: long non-coding RNA (PDAC_LNC007631)
Source: RNAcentral